This 373-nucleotide ribosomal RNA is filed under the name uncultured organism. Its description in RNAcentral is "partial 16S ribosomal RNA". It matches the Rfam family "Bacterial small subunit ribosomal RNA", at positions 527 to 896 of the family's 1533-position model. The record is from RNAcentral.
GUAGGUGGCAAGCGUUGUCCGGAAUUAUUGGGCGUAAAGCGCGCGCAGGUGGGUUCUUUAAGUCUGAUGUGAAAGCCCCCGGGCUCAACCGGGGAGGGUCAUUGGAAACUGGGGAACUUGAGUGCAGGAGAGGAAAGUGGAAUUCCACGUGUAGCGGUGAAAUGCGGAGAUAUGUGGAGGAACACCAGUGGCGAAGGCGACUUUCUGGCCUGUAACUGACACUGAGGCGCGAAAGCGUGGGGAGCAAACAGGAUUAGAUACCCUGGUGGUCCACGCCGUAAACGAUGAGUGCUAAGUGUUGGGGGGUUUCCGCCCCUCAGUGCUGCAGCUAACGCAUUAAGCACUCCGCCUGGGGAGUACGGUCGCAAGACUG